AUACGGAGGGAGCAAGCGUUAUUCGGAAUCACUGGGCGUAAAGGACGCGUAGGCGGGUUUGUAAGUCAGGUGUGAAAUCCUACAGCUCAACUGUAGAACUGCACUUGAAACUACAGACCUAGAGUAUGGAAGGGGCAGAUGGAAUUAGUGGUGUAGGGGUAGAAUCCGUAGAUAUCACUAGGAAUACCGAAAGCGAAGGCGAUCUGCUGGGACAUUACUGACGCUGAGGCGUGAAAGCGUGGGGAGCAAACAGAAUUAGAAACCCCAGUAGUCC
This 274-nucleotide ribosomal RNA is filed under the name uncultured bacterium. RNAcentral's name for it is "partial 16S ribosomal RNA". It matches the Rfam family "Bacterial small subunit ribosomal RNA", at positions 523 to 796 of the family's 1533-position model. The record is from RNAcentral.